Molecule: non-coding RNA, 510 nt
Organism: Podarcis muralis (Common wall lizard)
Lineage: Eukaryota; Metazoa; Chordata; Lepidosauria; Squamata; Lacertidae
Source: RefSeq, a predicted model, not a curated record
GAGAGGCUGCUGGCUGAGAGUUUUCAGGACCAUGUAAAUCAUGGGUGGGCAGGCAGGUGUGAGAUUCAAGCAGUGGAUCCUGGGUGCGAGAGUAAAGGUGUUGCAAACACACUCAGGUCUCUCUCUUUCCAUCUGCCAAUAUCCGCCCUCCCGGCCAGGGAGGACAAUGGACAGCCAGCCGGGGGUGGGCCUAAGGCCAAAGGAAAAGAGGCUGACUCCUGGGCUCAAGCCUCUUUUGCUGCUCUUCCUUCUGGUAUCAAGAUCAGGAUCAGGAGUGUAUCCAGGCGGCCGGACUGAGGCACCAGCGAUGCAUCCAAGCUGUACCAUGCACAAUGAAUCAAACUUGCUUCCCUGAAAUUCUCAACAGCCUUCUCACCUCCCAGCUUGUGCCACUCUUCUUCAGGGAUGCAGAAAUACUACAGGUGCCCCUCUCACACUGCGAGAAGGCUGCACUCAAAAACUUAAAGGUUGGCAGGAGCAGGGACCAAGCAACAGGAGCUCACCCCAUUG